Molecule: long non-coding RNA, 1022 nt
Organism: Dermacentor silvarum
Lineage: Eukaryota; Metazoa; Arthropoda; Arachnida; Ixodida; Ixodidae
Exons: 4
Source: RefSeq, a predicted model, not a curated record
UUUUAUUGAGUAUAAUUUAAUCAUUAUUAUCUUAUACUUGCUGGCUUUCAAAGCAUCUUAUGGUUUCAGCCGUAAACUUCUUGAGUGUGUGAAGGAAAAGGCCAGCGAAAUGGACGAAAUCAACAGGCAUGGUGGGCUAGUUAUAGAUGAGAUGAAACUUUCCACACACCUGCACCUCUAAUCUACUACGGAUAUUGAGGGCUUCGUAAACCUGGGCCAGUUCACCGAAGCACAAGACAAGCACACAAAAGCUGAUCACGGCCUAGUUGUUAUGUUUCAGCCUUUCGUGGGGAAAUGGACACAGGUCAUAGGUGUCUUUGCUUCAAAUGGAAACGUGAAGGCACCGACGCUGACAAAAAUAAUUUUGGAGGCAAUUCUUCUAUGCGAGCGAGCUGGUCUGCAUGUGGACUACAUCUGUACUGACGGUGCAUCAUGGAACCGUGCCAUGUGGCAUAGCAUGGGUGUGCGUGGCAAUGCUAAACACGUACGAUGCAAGGUUACACAUCCAUGCGACAAGAAGCGGUUCCUGCAUUUCAUCUCAGAUUUUCCCCAUCUCGUGAAAUGUGUGCGAAACACUAUGAUUAGGCACGGCUUCAACACACACAAAGGCCGAGCUCAUUGGGAACAUGUUGCAACAACUUGGAAGGUUGACAGCAGUGCCUUAACAUUAAAAGUUGCACCCAAGUUGACGCGUUCACACAUAUAUCCAAGUGGAUUUGAAGAAAUGAGGGUAAAUCUGGCCUUCAAUAUUUUCAACAGUGCAGUUGUGCACGCAAUGGACUUUCACAAAGAAAAAAUUUAGCAACAGUACACUAAUCUGGAGCCAACAAGGAUGUUUAUUGACAUGAUUGCUCAAAUAAUUGAAGCCAUGACAUCACGGUUUCCAGCAGAAGCUUUGAGACGUGGCAGUGCUAAAGAAACUGCACUUGACAGCAUGCUAGAAUUUCUUGAUCAAUGGGAGGCCCAUGCAAGAGGGCUCGGCUUCUUAAGCAAGAGCACAUCAGAAGGUCUGCGUGUGACCA